This 265-nucleotide long non-coding RNA is filed under the name Lathyrus oleraceus (garden pea). RNAcentral describes it as "Pisum sativum (pea) long non-coding RNA (PSAT_LNC030226)". The record is from RNAcentral. Lineage: Eukaryota; Viridiplantae; Streptophyta; Magnoliopsida; Fabales; Fabaceae.
UAGGUUUAUACCUUUGUAGUUAGGUGCCUAGUUCUCCUUCUAUCAUCAUACCCAUUUGUUCCUUUAUGACGAUACUAGAGAUCUUUGGUCCUUCUUAUACUUACAUUAUUUUUCUUUUCUCUUUUUUUUUAAGAAGUCUCUUUUUCCAUUUCUUGUUUCCUCAUAAUCCAACCCCAAACUUAAUACUUUUCUCACUUCCAAGAGUAACCCCAAACUUAAUCGUUAUCUUACACUAUUGGAACUAUAUUUCUACCUAACUCCAAAG